UUUGACGGUCAAAGCGGCAGGGAAACACCCGGUCUCAUUCCGAACCCGGAAGUUAAGCUUGCCUGCGUAAUUUUCAGUACUAUGGUGCGAGAGCCCAUGGGAGGAUUACCCUCUUUGAG
This 119-nucleotide ribosomal RNA is filed under the name Thermoplasmatales archaeon. The record is from RNAcentral. Lineage: Archaea; Methanobacteriati; Thermoplasmatota; Thermoplasmata; Thermoplasmatales.